GAUGGCCUAAUGGUUAGAGUGUCCGCUUUGGAUUCGGGAGGUCGUGUGUUCGAACCCCGUCAAGUCA
Potamilus streckersoni is the source of this 67-nucleotide non-coding RNA. NCBI's taxonomy places the organism in Eukaryota, Metazoa, Mollusca, Bivalvia, Unionida, Unionidae. The record is from the annotation of a GenBank genome assembly.